This 1716-nucleotide ribosomal RNA is filed under the name human gut metagenome. RNAcentral's name for it is "bacterial LSU rRNA". It matches the Rfam family "Bacterial large subunit ribosomal RNA", at positions 419 to 2206 of the family's 2925-position model. The record is from RNAcentral.
CGGACACGAGGAACCCGGUGGGAAGCCGGGGGGACCACCCCCCAAGCCUAAAUACUACCUGAUGACCGAUAGUGAAAAGUACAGUGAUGGAAAGUUGAAAAGAACCCCGGAAGGGGAGUGAAAAAGAAUCUGAAACCCUAUGUUUACAAGCUGCUAAAGCACUAUAUAUGUGCGAUAGCGUACUUUUUGUAGAACGGUCCGGCGAGUGUAUGUUGCAAGCGAGGUUAAGGUGUUAAGCACUGAAGCCGAAGGGAGACCGAGUGUGAAUAGCGCGUACAGUUUGCAGUAUACGACCCGAAACCGGGUGACCUAACCAUGGACAGGUUGAAGUGGAAGUAAAAUUCCAUGGAGGACCGAACCCACGUCUGUUGAAAAAGGCGGGGAUGAGCUGUGGUUAGCGGUGAAAUUCCAAUCGAACUCGGAUAUAGCUGGUUCUCAUCGAAAUAGCUUUAGGGCUAGCCUCAGGAUAGUUUAGCGGAGGUAAAGCACUGAAUGGGCUAGGGGGCUUCACGGCUUACCGAACCCUAUCAAACUCUGAAUGCCGCAUAAAUGUUUCCUGGGAGUCAGACUGCGUGAGAUAAGUUUCGUAGUCAAAAGGGAAAGAGCCCAGACCUACAGCUAAGGUCCCUAAAUGAAUUUAAGUGGAAAAGGAUGUGCAGUUGCGUAGACAACUAGGACGUUGGCUUAGAAGCAGCCACUCAUUUAAAGAGUGCGUAAUAGCUCACUAGUCGAGUGAUUGUGCGCCGAAAAUGUAACGGGGCUAAAAUUCAUACCGAAGCUUAGGAAUGAUAGUAAUAUUGUUGGUAGAUGAGCGUUGUGUAAGUCUGCGAAGCUACACCGAAAGGAGUAGUGGAGAUAUCACAAGUGAGAAUGCCGGAAUGAGUAGCGAGAAUUAUGUGAGAAUCAUAAUGGUCGAAAAUCUAAGGUUUCUUGAGGAAGGUUCGUCCGCUCAAGGUAAGCCGGGAGCUAAGGCGAGGCCGAAAGGCGUAGUCGAUGCACAUACGGUAAAGAUUCCGUAGCCACCGAAGUCGUUAAAUACAGGGACACAGGAACAUAGCCUAACCCCACCGUUGGUUGAGUGGGGCGUAAGGGAGCGAAAAUUAGUAGCGAAGUAGGUGAUUGUACACUGGCGAGAAAAGCUGUAUGAAUUGACAAGGUGCCCGUACCGCAAACCGACACAGGUAGAUGAGGAGAGAAUCCUAAGGCCAACGGGAGAAGGGUUGUUAAGGAACUCGGCAAAAUUACCCCGUAACUUCGGGAUAAGGGGAGCCCCCUACGCGAGUAGGCCGCAGAGAAUAGUCUCAAGCGACUGUUUAGCAAAAACACAGGUCUAUGCUAAAUCGAAAGAUGAUGUAUAUGGGCUGACGCCUGCCCGGUGCUGGAAGGUUAAGGGGAAGUGUUAGAGCAAUCGAAGCACUGAACUUAAGCCCCAGUAAACGGCGGCCGUAACUAUAACGGUCCUAAGGUAGCGAAAUUCCUUGUCAGGUAAGUUCUGACCCGCACGAAUGGCGUAACGACUUGAGAGCUGUCUCAACAACAUACCCGGCGAAAUUGAAGUACUGGUAAAGAUGCCAGUUACCCGUGAUAAGACGGAAAGACCCCAUGGAGCUUUACUGUAACUUGAUAUUGAAUUUUUGUAUUACAUGUACAGGAUAGGUGGGAGACAGAGAACUAAUGCCGCCAGGUGUUAGGGAGUCGAUGUUGGGAUACCACUCU